This is a non-coding RNA of Trichonephila inaurata madagascariensis, 73 nucleotides long. Lineage: Eukaryota; Metazoa; Arthropoda; Arachnida; Araneae; Nephilidae. The record is from the annotation of a GenBank genome assembly.
GUUCCUGUCGCGCAAUGGAUAGCGCGUUGGACUUCUAAUUUAAAGUUCGUGGAUUCGAAUUCCACCUGGAAUG